This 468-nucleotide ribosomal RNA is filed under the name uncultured bacterium. RNAcentral's name for it is "partial 16S ribosomal RNA". The stretch from base 20 to 329 matches the Rfam family "Bacterial small subunit ribosomal RNA", at positions 47 to 358 of the family's 1533-position model. The record is from RNAcentral.
GACGAACGCUGGCGGCGUGCUUAACACAUGCAAGUCGAACGGAAAGGCCCUGCUUUUGUGGGGUGCUCGAGUGGCGAACGGGUGAGUAACACGUGAGUAACCUGCCCUUGACUUUGGGAUAACUUCAGGAAACUGGGGCUAAUACCGGAUAGGAGCUCCUGCUGCAUGGUGGGGGUUGGAAAGUUUCGGCGGUUGGGGAUGGACUCGCGGCUUAUCAGCUUGUUGGUGGGGUAGUGGCUUACCAAGGCUUUGACGGGUAGCCGGCCUGAGAGGGUGACCGGCCAAAUGGGGGGGGAGAUGGGGCCAGGAACCAGAGGGGGGGAAGGGGGGGGGAAGUUGCAAAAGGGGGGGGGGGCUGUGUGAGGCAGCGCCGGGGGGGGGAGGGGGGCUUGCGGUUGGUAACCCCUUUGCGCGGGUGAGGGGGGGGGAGGGAGGGAAAGGGAAAAAGAGGCCCCGGCAAACUAGGUC